CUUUAUCCCUAGAAAUAAAUCAAUAACCUGCCAACAGAAAAUAAAAUAAAACUAAGACAUUUACUUUGUUACUUUCAAGCAAGACUAUGAGAAAAGGAAGCAAAGUCCAUGCACGGUGAGCUUAGGAAGGAGAUGUUGAAUGUCAGUACUUGACCCAGUAGUCAUGACAGAAACACAGAAUGUGGCUGGGUCAAAGCCUGGAGACAGCACUGGUUUGUGGGGUGCAGAACCUGUGUGGCCACUCAGGGGAGUACUCAGGUGGCCCAGGCCUUGCAUCACACCUUGCUCUUGCCAUCUUGACAGUCUUAAUCCUUUCUUAGCAGGGGCCUGGCAUUUUCAUUUCUGUACUGAGACCUGCAAAUUAAGCAGCUGGCAUCUGAAGGAAGCUGGUGCCUGAAGUGAGAUGUCACCUUCCCAGGGAGUUUCUGUGGAAUGGAUGGUCAGUUGUGGAGCCUCACACUCAUGUAUUCUAAAAAAAGACCUAGGGAUUCAGAUUCUCAUUAGUCUUCUAAAUAUCUGAAUGCUACACUCUUCACUUGGUUUUCACUACAACACCAUCACUUCUUUAGCUGAAUGUUACAUAGCAGAAACAACAGACUGAAAGAAGUUUAAGCAGAAGUGUGGUCACUCACAGGAAGGCGUUGUUUUACAAAACAAGACUGUUCUGUUUCAGAUAAAUUCCUGAACUAGAGGAAGAAGUCCUUCAUCUCAAGGUGCUUACAUGUGAGGUUUUUGUAGGUAAUGAUGUACUGAGUAGAAGAAUGUAAUAGGCCAUGAUGAACUUGCUCAUGGCCAAUGACAAGAGAUCUGAUACCAACUCAAAAUGUUAGCUAAGCAACUGAAAUGGAAAUUACAAAGAGGAGGGCUUCGGUACAAGUCAGCUUUCCUGUUGUUGAGAAAAAACACCUGACACCUAUAACAUAAAGGAGGAGAGGUUUCAUCUGGCUUACAGUUUUGCAGGGAUUCAGUCCCUGCUCAGGUGGCUUCAAGGCAGAAGCAACACGGUGGAAAGGCCUGGUGGAGGAAAGCAGCUCACCUCAUGGCAGCCAGGAAGCUGUGGUGGGAGACAUACCCUCCAAAGUCAAGGCACAGCCCCAGUGACAUACCCUCCCUCCAGGCCCUACUUCCCAACAGUACAUUCAGCUAUGAACUCAUCAGUGUAUGAAUUCACUGAGGAGUAUAGGGGACCCAUGAUUCAACUGUUAGAUCAAAGCGUGAGAGCUUAG
RNAcentral lists this long non-coding RNA (1226 nucleotides) under Heterocephalus glaber (naked mole-rat). RNAcentral's name for it is "lncRNA (ENSHGLG00100040098.1)". The record is from RNAcentral. Lineage: Eukaryota; Metazoa; Chordata; Mammalia; Rodentia; Bathyergidae.